RNAcentral lists this ribosomal RNA (484 nucleotides) under uncultured bacterium. RNAcentral's name for it is "partial 16S ribosomal RNA". It matches the Rfam family "Bacterial small subunit ribosomal RNA", at positions 30 to 507 of the family's 1533-position model. The record is from RNAcentral.
AUUGAACGCUGGCGGCAGGCCUAACACAUGCAAGUCGAGCGGAUGAAGGGAGCUUGCUCCUGGAUUCAGCGGCGGACGGGUGAGUAAUGCCUAGGAAUCUGCCUGGUAGUGGGGGAUAACGUCCGGAAUCGGGCGCUAAUACCGCAUACGUCCUGAGGGAGAAAGUGGGGGAUCUUCGGACCUCACGCUAUCAGAUGAGCCUAGGUCGGAUUAGCUAGUUGGUGGGGUAAAGGCCUACCAAGGCGACGAUCCGUAACUGGUCUGAGAGGAUGAUCAGUCACACUGGAACUGAGACACGGUCCAGACUCCUACGGGAGGCAGCAGUGGGGAAUAUUGGACAAUGGGCGAAAGCCUGAUCCAGCCAUGCCGCGUGUGUGAAGAAGGUCUUCGGAUUGUAAAGCACUUUAAGUUGGGAGGAAGGGCAGCAAGUUAAUACCUUGCUGUUUUGACGUUACCAACAGAAUAAGCACCGGCUAACUUCGUG